Long non-coding RNA from Gorilla gorilla gorilla (western lowland gorilla), 736 nucleotides. RefSeq lists it as uncharacterized. The record is from RefSeq and is a predicted model, not a curated record. The transcript is spliced from 3 exons. Lineage: Eukaryota; Metazoa; Chordata; Mammalia; Primates; Hominidae.
AUGGACAUAAUCCCACUUACCUGAAAUAAGACAUGAAUGUAACUGCUACUAUUUGUGCAGAGGUCCUCCUGGCAAUACUGCAGGUCCAUCUGGGCAGCGUUCAAAGAAACGAGGGCUAAUGGCUGGCAUGUAGGAAUCAGCUCCUCAGAGCAAUCAUGGAGCAUAAGGGAGAAGAAUGCUACCAGCCUGGUACUACUACUUUACCUUCUUGGCUUGGGAUUUGGAGAGACCAUGCAAGCAGUGUGAGUUGGAGCCCCAAACCUGCACAGAAGUUUUUCAGUGUUUGUUUGUUUGUUUGUUUCUGAGACAGAGUCUCACUCUAUCUCCCAGGCUGGAGCGCCAUCUUGGAUCACUGCAACCUCCGCUUCCCGGGUUCAAGCAAUUCUCCUGCCUCAGCUUCCCAAGUAGCUGGGAUUACAGGCAUGCAGCAUCACACCUGGCUAAUUUUUGUAAUUUUUAUAGAGAUGGGAUUUCACCAUGUUGGCCAGGCUGGUCUCAAACUCCUGACCUCAGGUGACUGGCCCACCUCAGCCUCCCAAAGUGCUGGAAUUACAGGCGUGAGCCACCACACCCAGCCGCCAGGAGCUUGUUCUUACUAUGCGUUCUUAGGAGAGAACAAUACUAUGAAGAAGGAAUAAUCAAUUCCACACUUUAUAAAGGAGGAAAAUAAGGUUCUGAGAAAUUAAGCUGCCUGGAGUUAUGCCAUAGUUAUGAAUUGGUGAAACCAAUUUGUCUG